This 1717-nucleotide unclassified non-coding RNA is filed under the name Actinia tenebrosa (Australian red waratah sea anemone). RNAcentral describes it as "f-box only protein 4-like, transcript variant X2". The record is from RNAcentral. Lineage: Eukaryota; Metazoa; Cnidaria; Anthozoa; Actiniaria; Actiniidae.
GGACUUGAAGCAACGAAUAAUACAUCGCAAAAGAUCCAUGCUGAAACAAGGGUUUUUCCCUGAAGCCAAAAUAGAAACAAGAUGACGUCAUUUGCCAUGUUGGCAAAAUCGUCGUGUGUAUAAACAUGUCGAUUAUUAUGCAAAUAUUAUGUAGUCGUAUGAUAUAUAAAACUAUAGGAAAAGACCCUACUUAUUUAUUACUGACCCCACGGCUUAGAGAAUCUUCUCCAAAAUAUAAGAAUUGGACUAAGAUCUAGAAAACUUUUACGAGAAUCCUUAGAGAAAAUAGAGGAAAAGAUAAAUAAUGAAGGACAUCGAUGAAGAGGCUGUUCCUUCCGUAGAGUUCAACUUCGACAACAUUAUUUCUGCAGCAGCAUAUUCCGUAAGAUAUAUAACUAAACUAGGCCAGAUUUCUUUUGAGGAGACUACUAUGAGGGAAUUAACCGUACAGCCAUCGAAAGCAACCACGGACUACAAGAAAACCAUCGUGGUACGAGAACCGUCGAUGAUGGAAUGCCGUUUCCGAGACUUACCCGUGAAUCUCCAACUGUUGAUCUUCUCUUACCUUGAUGCAAGAACAUUAUGUAAAAUAGCCCCCACUUGCAAGUACUGGAAAAUGUUAAGCGAGGAUAAAGUCCUGUGGGCCCAGCGCCUUUCAACAGACUUGAAAAAGUGGAAAUGUAUUGGUCACAUGACCUAUCCACCUACAUACCUUGAGACUAAUACAGACCUAACAACAAAAGAAAUAUACCUACGAUGCUGUCCAAGUUGUCAAUCACUAUGGCAACCCAAAACCAAUGCCAUGAGUUCUUUUGCAUCAGUAUUUCUCAACAAUCUUCAAAACAUACCCAAUCUAUUCACCAAGAAGCCUUUAAAAGUAGUAAUGUUUGGUCCUGGACUAGAGUCUGAAACCAAGUCCCUGACACAAACAAUAUUAUGGGGUACAAAGUCACCAUUCCAAGUAACAGGCUUAUUUGCUGGAGAGUUUGAAGGAGUUGGGUCUGGAGUGUGCUUGAAGUUAAAGAAAAGUAAAGUAGAGUUGAAUCUCAUCACUUUGUAUGGAUCUACAAGUGCCGAGAGAGAAAGGAAUGCAAGAGAAGGGAAAGAAAGAGUUAGUAAGCUACUAGCAGAAAAAGACAACCAAGACGAUGACAACCAUGAUGACAAUGCUCAACCGUCUGCACAAGUUGAAGUUAGCCACUCUGUCAAGGAACUCUGUAAAACUGUAGAUGCUUUUAUUUAUGUAGUUAACUCAUCUACAGAGAUUCGUAGAGGNAAGAACAAGAAAAGAAAGCAAGAAAAGCCACUUAAGUUCAUGCUUUUUCAUUUUGCCACAUACUUUUACUCCACCCUUUUUACCAUGCAUGCAAUAUAUCUGACCUGAUAAGGGUCAUGGGUGUGGCCUAUGGGUGUGGCUCAUGCUUUGGUAGUAAAAGUCAUAAAAAGCAUUGAUCAAAAAAAGCUUGCCUAUCAUGAAAGCGCUCUAUUUUGGGAUUGGCUUCUGUGAGUGUGUUCAGUUGGUAUACUUUCUUUCUGACGAAGGGAUGGUCCAAGUCAAAGAAACUAGAAAAACUGUUCUGCUUAAGAGUGGAUUCAGAAAAUCAAGAACUAAAUGCUGUAAUGAAUGUCAACUGGUCAAGACCAAGGGUACCCCUGUUAGUAUUAUCUUGUGUGGCUACUAAAGAAUCACAAUCAUUGUCCUGUGCUCAAGUUGUGG